Rosa chinensis is the source of this 1728-nucleotide RNA transcript. It is a transcript of the gene named long chain acyl-CoA synthetase 4, with no coding region annotated. The transcript has 6 exons. The record is from RefSeq and is a predicted model, not a curated record. NCBI's taxonomy places the organism in Eukaryota, Viridiplantae, Streptophyta, Magnoliopsida, Rosales, Rosaceae.
AAAACAAAUUAAACCUAGCUAGCCCUCAACCCUCUCUCGACACUCCCGACCCUAACCUCCCGACACACACACACACACUCUCUCUCUCUCUCUCUCUCUCUCUCUCACAGAUUAAACCUAGCCUCUCGACGUCUCUCUCUCUCUCUCUCUCGAUUGAAUUGUGGGUGACCUGAUUGAAGAUCUCUAUCCACCGUAAGCUCCUCUCUCGAUUCCUCAACCGCCCUUCUUCCUCCUCCUUUCUCCCUUUCCCUGCUUCUCAAACCCUCACCGCCCUCCAAGUCCCGGAUAUACUCUGAUGUCAACAUCAUCCGCCCCAAGGAGUAUUGGGACUACGAGGCCCUCACCGUCCAAUGGGGGUCAGUCAAUCAUUUUCUCCUCUCUUGUUCGUCUGGAUUGUGUAAAAGUUGUUGAAUUUAGAGAAAAUUGGAUGCAAAUGUUUUGAUUUUUUAGCUGCAAUGGAAUUCGUAACGAUGCUCUGAAAAUUGGAUUGUGUACUUCCCUCAAGGCCACAGCGAACAGGUGCAUGGAUAAUGCCGUAGGUGGCUUUGUGCUUAUCUGUUAGAACUGUCAAGUAUAGUUUACCUUUUGUAUAAAUUCAAUUCUUGUUUCAAUGCGGCUAUGAUAUCGAGCUCAUUUAGUAUUUUCCUCUACUGUUUUUAAUUGCAACUCCUUGAUGAGCUUCGAUUUCGAAAGGCUUGGUAAAUUAUAGGCAAUUUUUGGUUUUUCUUGUUACUAUGAUUGGCAUGUUAUCGUUUUUAAAUCCCUUGUGGUGUGGAAGUAGUUUUUGCCUCAUGAAGUAGUCUGGUUUAUUGGCUGUGAACGAUUUAAAGCUUAGCAAAGAGAGGAAGGUAUUCAGUUCAGUGUGGGCUCAUUAUUUCUGGGCGGUUUGUGUUGCUACUAUUAUAGUCGUAACUGAGUAUUAACUAGGGUAGUUGUGUUUAUCAAAUAUAGCACCACGUUUUUAUUUGCCUAGGGAAGUGUCUCAUUUCACUUGAGCUCUCCCAGUCUCCGUCUUACAAUAUCUCACUAAUUUAGCCUUUUCAUAUGAACUGAAGUGAAGCCAAGCACUCUCCUUCCAUUUGGUUUUCCUCAUCAUAUCACAAGGUUCCACUGUCCUUCGGUCGUGAAGCCUGCAUUGGCUACCACUGCUUUUGGUCGUGGAAGGUUAACAAGAAGCAACCAUGGAUGGUAUGAAACCGCAGUGGAAAGCGAUAGAUUUCAAGUGGAUAAGGGAGAACAAGGAUGUUGUUGCUUGGGAUUCAUUGGAAUCUCCUGAAGAAGGAAGACUUUCAGAUGCCAAAAAAGAAAUGUUGUGCAGCUUAGUUGGAGUUUAGCUACAACUGGAGUUUUGAGUGGAUGGAUCACAGGUGAUAUUGGAGAAGGACAACCUAAUGGAGCAAUGAAAGUUACAGACAGGAAAAAGAACAUAUUUAAACUGUCUCAAGGUGAAUAUGUUGCUCUGGAAAGCAUUGAAAGCAAAUACUUGCAAUGCCUCCUUAUUACAUUGAAAAGGUCUUGGAGGACUGGGCAGCUGAGCAUCAUUUGACUGAUGACUGAUGCAAAUAAGAAUAUAGUGCACAAGAUGCUUGAUAAAAUGGCACAGGAAGGUUUUGUUGAAGCGAAAAGAUAUUAUAUCAGCUUUUGAUUCAUGUAUAGCUAGCUAGGAAUGCUUUCUUGUUUGGUACAUUAUGUAGUUACUUGAAUGUAUGGAUGUUUGAAAAAUGGCAA